UCAGGAUGAACGCUAGCUACAGGCUUAACACAUGCAAGUCGAGGGGAAACGACAUCGAAAGCUUGCUUUUGAUGGGCGUCGACCGGCGCACGGGUGAGUAACGCGUAUCCAACCUGCCCACCACUUGGGAAUAACCUUGCGAAAGUAAGACUAAUACCCAAUGAUAUCCCUAGAAGGCAUCAGAAAGAGAUUAAAGAUUUAUCGGUGAUGGAUGGGGAUGCGUCUGAUUAGCUUGUUGGCGGGGUAACGGCCCACCAAGGCUACGAUCAGUAGGGGUUCUGAGAGGAAGGUCCCCCACAUUGGAACUGAGACACGGUCCAAACUCCUACGGGAGGCAGCAGUGAGGAAUAUUGGUCAAUGGACGAGAGUCUGAACCAGCCAAGUAGCGUGCAGGAUGACGGCCCUAUGGGUUGUAAACUGCUUUUAUAAGGGAAUAAAGUGAGUCUCGUGAGACUUUUUGCAUGUACCUUAUGAAUAAGGACCGGCUAAUUCCGUGCCAGCAGCCGCGGUAAUACGGAAGGUCCGGGCGUUAUCCGGAUUUAUUGGGUUUAAAGGGAGCGUAGGCCGGAGAUUAAGCGUGUUGUGAAAUGUAGAUGCUCAACAUCUGCACUGCAGCGCGAACUGGUUUCCUUGAGUACGCACAAAGUGGGCGGAAUUCGUGGUGUAGCGGUGAAAUGCUUAGAUAUCACGAAGAACUCCGAUUGCGAAGGCAGCUCACUGGAGCGCAACUGACGCUGAAGCUCGAAAGUGCGGGUAUCGAACAGGAUUAGAUACCCUGGUAGUCCGCACGGUAAACGAUGGAUGCCCGCUGUUGGUCUGAAUAGGUCAGCGGCCAAGCGAAAGCAUUAAGCAUCCCACCUGGGGAGUACGCCGGCAACGGUGAAACUCAAAGGAAUUGACGGA
This 903-nucleotide ribosomal RNA is filed under the name uncultured bacterium. RNAcentral's name for it is "bacterial SSU rRNA". It matches the Rfam family "Bacterial small subunit ribosomal RNA", at positions 24 to 917 of the family's 1533-position model. The record is from RNAcentral.